GACGAAGGGGGCUAGCGUUGUCCGGAUUUAUUGGGCGUAAAGAGCGUGUAGGCGGCUAGGUAGGUCCGUUGUGAAAACUCGAGGCUCAACCUCGAGACGCCGAUGGAAACCAUCUGGCUAGAGUCCGGAAGAGGAGAGUGGAAUUCCUGGUGUAGCGGUGAAAUGCGCAGAUAUCAGGAAGAACACCCGUGGCUAAGGCGGCUCUCUAGUACGGUACUGACGCUGAGACGCGAAAGCGUGGGGAGCGAACAGG
RNAcentral lists this ribosomal RNA (253 nucleotides) under uncultured bacterium. RNAcentral describes it as "partial 16S ribosomal RNA". It matches the Rfam family "Bacterial small subunit ribosomal RNA", at positions 524 to 776 of the family's 1533-position model. The record is from RNAcentral.